GGUUAAGCGACUAAGCGUACACGGUGGAUGCCCUGGCAGUCAGAGGCGAUGAAGGACGUGCUAAUCUGCGAUAAGCGUCGGUAAGGUGAUAUGAACCGUUAUAACCGGCGAUUUCCGAAUGGGGAAACCCAGUGUGUUUCGACACACUAUCAUUAACUGAAUCCAUAGGUUAAUGAGGCGAACCGGGGGAACUGAAACAUCUAAGUACCCCGAGGAAAAGAAAUCAACCGAGAUUCCCCCAGUAGCGGCGAGCGAACGGGGAGGAGCCCAGAGCCUGAAUCAGUGUGUGUGUUAGUGGAAGCGUCUGGAAAGGCGUGCGAUACAGGGUGACAGCCCCGUACACAAAAAUGCACAUGCUGUGAGCUCGAUGAGUAGGGCGGGACACGUGGUAUCCUGUCUGAAUAUGGGGGGACCAUCCUCCAAGGCUAAAUACUCCUGACUGACCGAUAGUGAACCAGUACCGUGAGGGAAAGGCGAAAAGAACCCCGGCGAGGGGAGUGAAAAAGAACCUGAAACCGUGUACGUACAAGCAGUGGGAGCACGCUUAGGCGUGUGACUGCGUACCUUUUGUAUAAUGGGUCAGCGACUUAUAUUCUGUAGCAAGGUUAACCGAAUAGGGGAGCCGAAGGGAAACCGAGUCUUAACUGGGCGUUAAGUUGCAGGGUAUAGACCCGAAACCCGGUGAUCUAGCCAUGGGCAGGUUGAAGGUUGGGUAACACUAACUGGAGGACCGAACCGACUAAUGUUGAAAAAUUAGCGGAUGACUUGUGGCUGGGGGUGAAAGGCCAAUCAAACCGGGAGAUAGCUGGUUCUCCCCGAAAGCUAUUUAGGUAGCGCCUCGUGAAUUCAUCUCCGGGGGUAGAGCACUGUUUCGGCAAGGGGGUCAUCCCGACUUACCAACCCGAUGCAAACUGCGAAUACCGGAGAAUGUUAUCACGGGAGACACACGGCGGGUGCUAACGUCCGUCGUGAAGAGGGAAACAACCCAGACCGCCAGCUAAGGUCCCAAAGUCAUGGUUAAGUGGGAAACGAUGUGGGAAGGCCCAGACAGCCAGGAUGUUGGCUUAGAAGCAGCCAUCAUUUAAAGA
Molecule: ribosomal RNA, 1088 nt
Filed under: Escherichia coli
Lineage: Bacteria; Pseudomonadati; Pseudomonadota; Gammaproteobacteria; Enterobacterales; Enterobacteriaceae
Description: partial 23S ribosomal RNA
Rfam family: Bacterial large subunit ribosomal RNA
Source: RNAcentral